GCUCGGGUGGCGGAAUGGCAGACGCAGACGGCUUAAACCCGUCGGCCCCCCGCGGGCAUGUGGGUUCGACUCCCACCCCGAGCA
This 84-nucleotide transfer RNA is filed under the name bacterium. RNAcentral's name for it is "tRNA-Leu". It matches the Rfam family "tRNA". Rfam says of the family: Transfer RNA (tRNA) molecules are approximately 80 nucleotides in length. Their secondary structure includes four short double-helical elements and three loops (D, anti-codon, and T loops). Further hydrogen bonds mediate the characteristic L-shaped molecular structure. tRNAs have two regions of fundamental functional importance: the anti-codon, which is responsible for specific mRNA codon recognition, and the 3' end, to which the tRNAs corresponding amino acid is attached (by aminoacyl-tRNA synthetases). tRNAs cope with the degeneracy of the genetic code in two manners: having more than one tRNA (with a specific anti-codon) for a particular amino acid; and 'wobble' base-pairing, i.e. permitting non-standard base-pairing at the 3rd anti-codon position. The record is from RNAcentral.